This 429-nucleotide ribosomal RNA is filed under the name Verrucomicrobiota bacterium. Its description in RNAcentral is "Verrucomicrobia bacterium partial 16S ribosomal RNA". It matches the Rfam family "Bacterial small subunit ribosomal RNA", at positions 355 to 776 of the family's 1533-position model. Lineage: Bacteria; Pseudomonadati; Verrucomicrobiota. The record is from RNAcentral.
UAGGGAAUCUUCCGCAAUGGACGAAAGUCUGACGGAGCAACGCCGCGUGAGUGAAGAAGGAUUUCGGUUCGUAAAACUCUGUUGUUAGGGAAGAAAAAAUGUAUAGUAACUAUAUACAAAAGAGACGGUACCUAACCAGAAAGCCACGGCUAACUACGUGCCAGCAGCCGCGGUAAUACGUAGGUGGCAAGCGUUGUCCGGAAUUAUUGGGCGUAAAGCGCGCGCAGGUGGUUUAGAAAGUCUGAUGUGAAAGCCCACGGCUCAACCGUGGAGGGUCAUUGGAAACUAAUAAACUUGAGUGCAGGAGAGAAAAGUGGAAUUCCUAGUGUAGCGAUGAAAUACGUAGAGAUUAGGAGGAACACCGGUGGCGAAAGCGGCUUUUUGGCCUGCAACUGACACUGAGGCGCGAAAGCGUGGGGAGCAAACAGG